AUGGAGGAGAGGCUGAAACUAAGUCGCGACAGCACGACGGAGGAAGUGGAUGCUACGCAGUACCGACGCCUUGUGGGGAGCCUUCGCUACCUCACUCACACACGGCCGGACUUGGCAUUCUCCGUCGGCUAUGUCAGUCGGUUCAUGGAGCGACCAACGUCGGAACACCAGCAGGCAGUGAAGAGGAUCGUCCGCUACAUAGCAGGGACCCUCGACCACGGCCUCCAUUACCCUAGGUGCUCUGGGGCGGCACACUUCGUCGGGUACAGCGACAGCGACCACGCCGGCGACAUCGACACCAGCAAGAGCACGAGCGGGAUCCUCCUCUUCCUCGGCAAGUGUCUCGUGAGCUGGCAAUCAGUCAAGCAGCAGGUGGUGGCCCUGUCCAGCUGUGAGGCUGAGUACAUAGCGGCCUCCACCGCCUGUACUCAGGCGCUCUGGCUUGCUCGACUGCUUGGUGAUCUUCUCGUUCAAGACACCAGAACGGUGCAGCUCCUGGUGGACAGCAAGUCCGCCCUGGCCCUGGCAAAGAACCCCGUGUUCCACGAACGGAGCAAGCACAUCCGACUGAGGUAUCACUUCAUCCGCAGCUGUGUGGAAGAAGGGAGCAUCGAGGCGAGCUACAUCAACACCAAGGAUCAGCUCGCAGACCUGCUCACCAAGCCCCUUGGGAGGGUCAAGUUCCUCGAACUUUGCUCCAGGAUUGGGAUGAUUCAACUCUCCCACAAGACGACGUACAAGACUUAG
RNAcentral lists this ribosomal RNA (747 nucleotides) under Triticum aestivum (bread wheat). RNAcentral describes it as "partial small subunit ribosomal RNA". The record is from RNAcentral. Lineage: Eukaryota; Viridiplantae; Streptophyta; Magnoliopsida; Poales; Poaceae.